UACGUAGGGUGCAAGCGUUAAUCGGAAUUACUGGGCGUAAAGCGUGCGCGGGCGGUUUUGUAAGUCUGACGUGAAAUCCCCGGGCUCAACCUGGGAAUUGCGUUGGAGACUGCAAGGCUAGAAUCUGGCAGAGGGGGGUAGAAUUCCACGUGUAGCAGUGAAAUGCGUAGAGAUGUGGAGGAACACCGAUGGCGAAGGCAGCCCCCUGGGUCAAGAUUGACGCUCAUGCACGAAAGCGUGGGGAGCGAACAGG
Molecule: ribosomal RNA, 253 nt
Filed under: uncultured bacterium
Lineage: Bacteria
Description: partial 16S ribosomal RNA
Rfam family: Bacterial small subunit ribosomal RNA
Source: RNAcentral